RNAcentral lists this ribosomal RNA (305 nucleotides) under uncultured bacterium. RNAcentral describes it as "bacterial SSU rRNA". It matches the Rfam family "Bacterial small subunit ribosomal RNA", at positions 335 to 650 of the family's 1533-position model. The record is from RNAcentral.
CUUCCUACGGGACGCAGCAGUGGGGAAUCUUGCGCAAUGGGCGGAAGCCUGACGCAGCGGCGCCGCGUGCGGGACGAAGGCCUUCGGGUCGUAAACCGCUUUCAGCAGGGACGAGGCCCUCAUGGUGACGGUACCUGCAGAAGAAGCCCCGGCUAACUACGUGCCAGCAGCCGCGGUAAUACGUAGGGGGCGAGCGUUAUCCGGAUUCAUUGGGCGUAAAGCGCGCGUAGGCGGCCUGUUAGGUCGGGGGUCAAGUACCGGGGCUCAACCCCGGUGCGCCCCCGAUACCGGCAGGCUUGAGGCAG